GACGAACGCUGGCGGCGUGCUUAACACAUGCAAGUCGAGCGGUAAGGCCCUUUCGGGGGUACACGAGCGGCGAACGGGUGAGUAACACGUGGGUGACCUGCCCUUAGCUCUGGGAUAAGCCUGGGAAACUGGGUCUAAUACCGGAUAUGACUCCAUGACGCAUGUUGUGGGGUGGAAAGCCUUGUGCGGCUAGGGAUGGGGCCCGCGGCCUAUCAGCUUGUUGGUGGGGUGAUGGCCUACCAAGGCGACGACGGGUAGCCGGCCUGAGAGGGCGACCGGCCACACUGGGACUGAGACACGGCCCAGACUCCUACGGGAGGCAGCAGUGGGGAAUCUUGCGCAAUGGGCGAAAGCCUGACGCAGCGACGCCGCGUGA
This 376-nucleotide ribosomal RNA is filed under the name uncultured bacterium. RNAcentral describes it as "bacterial SSU rRNA". It matches the Rfam family "Bacterial small subunit ribosomal RNA", at positions 28 to 404 of the family's 1533-position model. The record is from RNAcentral.